Long non-coding RNA from Perca flavescens (yellow perch), 1687 nucleotides. RefSeq lists it as uncharacterized. The transcript is spliced from 4 exons. Lineage: Eukaryota; Metazoa; Chordata; Actinopteri; Perciformes; Percidae. The record is from RefSeq and is a predicted model, not a curated record.
GUGAUGAUGAAAACCAAGUGGAUCCCAGUUUCUUUAAGCAGAUAAAACAUGUCCUGCAGGAUGGAGGAUGUUCAGUUGUGCCUGUUAUCUUCUCUCCACUGAGAUUGGUUCCUGGGAGAAAGGCAGAGAUGACUGCAGACAGAGAGGAGCACAUCUGGUGGUGAUAGAAAGCUUUGGAGAGCAGGUACUGUGUGGCAGGCAGUCCUAAAGAACAGAAGUUCCUCUCUAACUUCACCAAAAAAGAAACGCAUGCUUGGAUUGGUUUGACUGACGAAGCCGAGGAGGGAACCUGGAAAUGGAUUAAUGAAGCUCCGCUGUCUUUAAAGUACUGGCGGGAAACUCAGCCUGAUAAUGGUGGUGGACAUAUCCAUCUCGGGAAAGAGAACUGUGCCCAUAUCAUAAUAACUGGAGGGACGAAUUAUCAGAACUGGAAUGAUUUGCUUUGUAGUACCGAUCUGAGAUGGAUCUGUGAGAAGCAUCAUCAGUGAAUACUCAAGUUUAAACGUUUUCGGAUUGUUGGCUACAGGAAGGAAAACAAAUUAAGAAUGUCCUUCACCUGCAAAUCAUGGCUCAGUUGAUAAUAAGGAAAAUAAUUAAUAAUUAUAUCAUCAAUCCACCCACAGUAAUGAUGGAUUCUUCUUCAUGAAUCUUAUUGCUCAGAGUUCAUUGUCCCUGAUCCAUGCUCCUGUGUCUCUGCUCCUGAUCCAUGUUGCUGUGUCUCUGCUCCUGCACGAGAAUCGUCCUGCUCGGAGUUCAUUGUCCCUGAUCCAUGCUCCUGUGUCUCUGCUCCUGCAUGAGAAUCCUCCUGCUUGGAGUUCAUUGUCCCUGAUCCAUGUUGCUGUGUCUCUGCUCCUGAUCCAUGUUGCUGUGUCUCUGCUCCUGAUCCUUGUUGCUGUGUCUCUGCUCCUGAUCCUUGUUGCUGUGUCUCUGCUCCUGAUCCUUGUUGCUGUGUCUCUGCUCCUGAUCUUUGUUGCUGUGUCUCUGCUCCUGAUCCUUGUUGCUGUGUCUCUGCUCCUGAUCCUUGUUGCUGUGUCUCUGCUCCUGAUCCUUGUUGCUGUGUCUCUGCUCCUGCACGAAAAUCGUCCUGCUCGGAGUUCAUUGUCCCUGAUCCAUGCUCCUGUCUCUCUGCUCUUGCAUGUGACUCCUCUUGUCUCUCAGGUUUUAUCCAGUAGAAAUCUGAGGCUGAAAUCUUUUGCCAGGCUUCCGCAACAUUGUUGACACUGUUGUUGCUCUCACCUGUAUUGGGCUGCUCAUGCAUCCGAAUAGCUUGAAGGUGAGGCUCACAGAUUGCUUCAGCUCUUUUUUUUGCGAUUUCUUGUAGCUGACCUUGCAAACGCUCACUCACUUGCACUGCCAGGAGAUCUUCAUAAACCACUUUGUAGUAAGGAGGACAACAAGCCUUGCUGUCACAAUCGGACCAAUUCUUCUUCUUUCUUCUACAACAGGCUAUUAUGUUUUCAACAAUGCUCCAAAUGAAAAUAAGAGAUGUGAUUAAAUACAAGCCAAUUUCCUGGAAAAAAGAAAAAAGACAUCUAUUUAAUAGUUUGAGGAACACAAAGCACAACAUCAUUGUGGUUUCAGACAGUUAAGUUUAACAUAGUGUUCUGCAUUGUCAAAACAUAAUAUAUGAACAAAUGUAUUGUGAGUUUGAAAAAAUACAUUUGUAUAAAGAUAUAAAACAAUUCCA